CUCUCCUCCGCAGACGCCGGCGCUCCACCCAGAACACCCCGGCGAGCCCUCAGGCCCGGGCCCUGCCCUGGAGGUGGCCGUGCGCCUGCGGAGAACUUCAGAUCGCUUCACAUCACCCUGCCUAUUUCGGGACAUCGUCUCUGAGGAAAACACUGUGAGAAAACUACAGGUUAAGGGACUUAGCCGAAGUUAUACAACCAGUUGCUAGAAGAAUCAGAACCAGUACCGUAUCACCUCCUUCACUUCAACAUUACAUGAAAAUCUGCACAGCCUCCUGGAAUCAUCCAAUAAUUGUUACUAAGUCACUAUCAACAGUAGUGAUAGUGACUUAACUCUGCGUGUCUUCUUUUUGGGCAGGUUCUUGCUCAGACCCUGGAAUGCAGCAGCCUGAUCAAGUAAUCCUUCUGCCUCAGCCUCCUGAGUAGCUGGAACUACCGCAUUCCAGGGCUCCAACUGCCACUGCUACCAGUUAUCAAUCUAGUUGGAAGGAGUAGUGGUAGCAAUAGAGGCCUAAAUGUCUUAAACAAUCACAUGUCAAGAUCUAGGAAGUUGGAGAAAUAAAAGUCAGGAAAGGCUGCAAAUUCUGGACAAUCACAAUGGAUUUUCACCUGCUCCCCUAAUUAAAUGUGUUUAUUUAGGAGUCAAUCCCCCAAUUAAUGUAUCAACAGUCAAGAUGAGAAACACUUAUGAAUUUGUGUAUUGAAUUACUCCAUUAUCAAAAAAGGCAUUAAUAAAUGAAGAUUGCAUUUGUUUUACUUCAAUACCAGGUAAAAAUGAGAAUUGGCAUCCCUUACCCUGGACAACGAACCUUGAUUCAAACAUAUUCAAGGGUAAAAAGAGAUUUAUUUAUAACAGGGAUUCUUCACUCUGAUCCUUGUUAAGAGGAUCCAAACAUGGGCUUUAUAUGGUCAACAAAGGGCCUAAAUUUGUGUGUUUGGGUAUAUACAUAAAUAUAUAUAUAUAUAUAUAUAGUUUCCAGGAAGAAUGUUAAUAGAUCUUUAAUAGCUAAUAUUCACUGAAUACUGUAGGUAAGGCACUGUUCGACAUGCUCUACAUGCAUUCACUUUUGAUCCCUAAAACAUCUCUAGAAAAUAGUACAAUUAUUUCCCCAUUUCUGGCUUCAGAGUCCAUGUUAUCAAGCCUACUUAAGACUGAUAAGAUGAAGGUUAAGAAUCACUCACCUAAAAUAAUUUCUCUUAGUUGGGCUCCAGUUCUAAUUCUUGACUCUUGGUUAAAACUAUCUUUACUUAUUUAGCUGGGUUUGACCUUGUCCUUUGGAAUUCUAUCUCUGGAACAAACUUAAUAGCAGUGAAAGAGAGGACUUUGGAGCCAUACUGUCUGAAUUGGAAUCCUAGGCCUACCACUUAUUUAGGUGAGUGACCUAAUUUUCUGAGCCUCAGCUGCCUCAUCUAAAAUGGAAAUAACAACCCUUACCAAAGGAUUAUUUUGAGGAUUAACUGAGUUAUGAUACAUCACAUGUUUAGAACGUUGCCUUAAAACUGUUAUCAGCCAUAAUAAGCAUUCAAUAAAUGUUAAUUACUAUUUGAGGAUCAGUGAGGUUAAGUGUGAUGAACUCAUUUUCCAAAGCUGCAUUUUAAAAAUGUUGGCAAUUUCAUGAAUCAGUAAGAAAAUAUGUCCAAUUUAAUCAUUUUGGUAAGAUAUAAAAACUCAUCUACACAUUUUCCUAAAUGUUUUUAUUCUAAGUGUCUUCUUGUUCAAAUGUCAUUGAUUCAUAAUUGUUAAUGGGUACUUUCAGACUUUAAGUGGGAAAUUUUCAGCUCAAGAAGGUUAAAAUUAGUUUUAUUAUCUGUAGUGUGGUAGGCAAUUAACUUCUGAAAAGAAUAGCAAGACUUUUCCCCUAAUAAUGGUUAUAAAAACAGAUCAGAAAGGCAUAUAAUAGGAUAUUACUCAAGUGUAUAAAACUGGAAUUCACUUUAACAUUAUAGUUGUCUUUAGGCAUCUGUGGGGGAACUGGUUCUAGGACUACCCAUGGAUACCAACAUAUGUGGAUACUCAAGUCCCUUAUGUAAAACAGCACAGUAUUUCCCGAAUACUUUAAAUCAUCUCAAGAUUACUUGUGAUACCUAAUACAAUGUAAAUGCUACAUAAGUAGUUGUUAAGCUAUAUUGUUUUUUUAAAAUUUGUAUUAUUCUUUAUUUUUUUUCCCCUAAUAUUUUUGAUCCUCGGUUGGUUGAAUUCUUGGAUGUGGAACCUGCGGAUAUGGAGCGCCAACUGUAUAUCAUAAGCAUUUAUUCUUCAUCACUAAAAUUAAAACAUUAUUAUUUUUUAAGGCUGUGUAAUAUCCCAUCAUAGAUGUAGUCUUUAUUUAACCAUUCACUUCUAUCCCUGGACAGUUAGAUAUAAUUGUAACUAUGAAAAACUAGAAAACUGGGAACACUACAACUAAUGUUUUGGCAUGCAUCAUCUCUUUGCAUCUCUAUGUCCUUAAUAUGAAUUUUUACAAAUGGAAGUACUUAAACAUUUUAAAGGCUUUUGCCACAUAUUUGCAAAUUUCUUUCCUUAAAGAUUAUAUCAAUUUACUCUAACAGAAAUGAAUAUGUGUUUCAUCAAGCCCUCACAGCAAUAAAUAUUACCAUAAAAACAAACUUGGUUGUUUUAUUAAUAAUUUGCAUUUAUUUAUUUACUAGUGAGGCAGAACAUCUUUUAACUCGUGUAAUAGCUAUUUCAGAAUGUGUAGUAACAGUAUGCUGCUUGGAAAAGGAUUAAAGGAAGGUGCUAAUCAGCUGCCUGAGGACAGUAAAAUUUUUUUCAAAUUAUUCACAUAGGUGGGAA
This is a non-coding RNA of Microcebus murinus (gray mouse lemur), 2793 nucleotides long. The record is from RefSeq and is a predicted model, not a curated record. NCBI's taxonomy places the organism in Eukaryota, Metazoa, Chordata, Mammalia, Primates, Cheirogaleidae.